GAAGUUAUAGUUUUUAGAAUAUAAAUCUUGUAAAUUUAAGGAUACACGCUUCA
This 53-nucleotide transfer RNA is filed under the name Amphiascoides atopus. RNAcentral's name for it is "tRNA-Thr". The record is from RNAcentral. Lineage: Eukaryota; Metazoa; Arthropoda; Copepoda; Harpacticoida; Miraciidae.